AUGAUGAUUCCCCAUAGCCCCACACCACGCACCCCACCCCAAGAGGGCAAGAGGGAAGAUCGAUCGGAAUCGGAUCAGUGUGGCCACCUCUCUCCGCCACCGGAUUCAGCUCCUGCACAGCACAUGUUGGCCGUCCCCAUCCGUGGAUGCAGCCGGACACAUGAGCCGCCAUUGUUUCAUGACGGAGAAGAAGAUCCUUCCCCUUCCUCUUCCCCGUCCCCUCCCCACGCGCAGCCAAAGCACCCGUCGUCUUUCUUUCUUUCUAAGGAAGCUGUUCCUCUGAGCCGCUGCAGCGCGUAG
Molecule: ribosomal RNA, 300 nt
Filed under: Triticum aestivum (bread wheat)
Lineage: Eukaryota; Viridiplantae; Streptophyta; Magnoliopsida; Poales; Poaceae
Description: partial small subunit ribosomal RNA
Source: RNAcentral